AACAGGGAUUCCCCCAGUAACGGCGAGUGAANAGGGAUUGAAAGCCUAGCCUGAAUCCUGCAGUUGGCAACAAUUGCAGUGACAUGUGGGCUGAAGAAAGUGAAAUUAGCCAAUGCCGCCAUGGGUCCGUGUAAGUCCUCCUAAAUGAGGCCCGUGUCCCAGAGAGGGUGCAAGGCCCGUGUCGCGGAUGGCGAGUGUGUUGGCGGACACUUUCGGUGAGUCGGGUUGUUUGGGAGUGCAACCUAAAUGCGGUGGUAAAACCCAUCGAAGGCUGAAUAAUUGAACGCGAGUCCGAUAGUGAACAAGUACCGUGAGGGAAAAUUGAAAAGCACUUUGAAGAGAGAGCGAAAUAGUGCGUGAAACCGCUCAGAGGAAAGCAGAUGGGCCCUCGAAGGCAUGUGGCAAGGAAUUCAGCCGGCUGGCGUGUGAUUUGGUGGGCACGCAUGAUUGUAUUUAUAUAUGCANUGGAGUGUGCUUAACUGCCAAUCAGUUGCCGGUGCACUUUCCUUGCCCAGACGCCACCANUGUCGUUGGCGNUGUGCCCGACGGUUGUGUGUGUUGAACGUUAGCUGCUUAGCGCACAUGCUGCGGCGUUCCAUUGGAGCGUGUGCGUGUGUGCGCGUUGUUAGCAGCUGGCGAUUGCAUCUAAUCGUUCGGCGUUGAUAANAGUUGCGGCACGCCAUGGCAUUUUGUCUGGNCGUUUGCUUGGUUGCACAAUGUACGACUGCGUGGCGCGGUGACAGGGCNAUNGUCAAUGCGCGAUUGUCCAGUAGUUCGACGCUNUGUGCGUUCGGCUGCUUUCCGUUUGUCAACAGUUUAGCGUACGUUUUGUGUGCUAAGUGAAAAGUUAGGCCGGUGGCGAGUAGACGGUCUCCUAUCUAUCCCGUCUUGAAACACGGACCAAGGAGUUCAACAUGCGCGCGAGUCUUUGGGUAUGUGAAUUGAUACCCGUNAACNNAGACAGGCUCAGUGAAAGCAACGGUCUCCUCCUAGUUGAGGAGUCAAUGUGUGGCGAGAUUUUUCCUGCUGGCGUUUUGCGGCAGUUGGGAAAACGCAUCGCCGGCGUGUUGUAUAGCUUACGGGCUUUGAACACAGCUGGAGCGUGUACGUUGUGACCCGAAAGAUGGUGAACUAUGCCUGGGCAGGACGAAGCCAGGGGAAACCCUGGUGGAAGUCCGUAGCGGUUCUGACGUGCAAAUCGAUCGUCUGACCUGGGUAUAGGGGCGAAAGACUAAUCGAACCAUCUAGUAGCUGGUUCCCUCCGAAGUUUCCCUCAGGAUAGCUGGCGCUUUUAUGAAAAAGCUAUAAGCAAUUUCUCCCGGUAAAGCGAAUGAUUAGAGGUAUUGGGGCCGAAACGACCUCAACCUAUUCUCAAACUUUAAAUGGGUGAGAAGUCUGGCUUACUUAAGUGAAGUCCGGACACAUGGAAUGUGAAUGCAUUAAGUGCCAAGUGGGCCAUUUUUGGUAAGCAGAACUGGCGCUGUGGGAUGAACCGAACGCUAGGUUAUGGCGCCCGAGAAGACGCUCAUCAGAUCCCACAAAAGGUGUUGGUUGCUAUAGACAGCAGGACGGUGGCCAUGGAAGUCGGAAUCCGCUAAGGAGUGUGUAACAACUCACCUGCCGAAGCAACUAGCCCUGAAAAUGGAUGGCGCUCGAGCGUCUCGCCUAUACCUNGCCGUUGUAGUUGACGGUGUGUGCACCGAUCAAAUUCAUACUGCAACGAGUAGGAGGGUCGCGGCGGUAUGCGUUGAAGGGUUAGAGGCGUGAGCCUGCCCGGAGCUGCCGUCGGUGCAGAUCUUGGUGGUAGUAGCAAAUACUCAAGCGAGAACCUUGAGGACUGAAGUGGAGAAGGGUUCCAUGUGAACAGCAGUUGAACAUGGGUCAGUCGAUCCUAAGGUAUCGGCAAAAGCCGUUCAGAUGCGGUGUCGGUUUUGAUUACGUGAAAAAUAAUCAAUGCUCGGCCAUGUUGGUCGGCNAAGUUNUUNUUAANUGUUCAUUCCGGUGGAUNGUUGAGCGCGCUUGGUUGAUGGCUUGGUUUGGGCUUGACUAUGUGCUGUAGUCUGGUGCAUGGUCGCCGCACCUGCCGAAAGGGAAUCGGGUUAAUAUUCCCGAACCCGGCAACGGAGACUGUUUGUUAGGUGCAGGUUGUGUUCUGGUGUUCAUUUAGUGUCCUUUACUGCGUUCGCGCGCGUUUUGGCGCUCNAUGUUCGCCGCNCAGCUUUCUGCGUGCNUGGCAAAUCACUGCGGUAACGCAACCGAACUCGCAAACGCUGACCAGCGCCCUGGGAAGAGUUGUCUUUUCUUCNUAAGGAGCCGACUCCAUGGAAGCGGAUCAUCCGGCGAUAUGGAGAUUGUGUCCGUAAAGCACCGCGGUUCUUGCGGUGUCCGGUGCGCGCUGGUCGGCCCAUGAAAAUG
This 2415-nucleotide ribosomal RNA is filed under the name Coronarctus sp. SF-2015. Its description in RNAcentral is "eukaryotic LSU rRNA". It matches the Rfam family "Eukaryotic large subunit ribosomal RNA", at positions 67 to 1813 of the family's 3401-position model. The record is from RNAcentral. Lineage: Eukaryota; Metazoa; Tardigrada; Heterotardigrada; Arthrotardigrada; Coronarctidae.